CUGCCCCCCGAGCUGCAGCUUGAGCUCAGGCCAAACGCCCUUCCCCUCACUCGGCGGAAGUCCCCAGAAGUGACGCACACACUAUACACCAGGCGGGGGAAGGGGAGAUGGAGACACGUGCACUUCUGGCCGUUAGGGCAGUUGGAGCAUGGUCUAUGAGGUCCCUCCCCUGCCUGUCCACAGAGCGGGGGGCUAACCCAGCAGCCCCACCCUGCCGCUUGCCCGCGGGCCGCACAGUGAGCUCAGGCAGGCCGCAUGUUGUGCAGGCCUGAUCAACAGAGCAUCCAUUUGGGAGCUGAAAUUAUUUUUAAUUCUAUUAUCAUUUCCAAUAGCUGAUGCUGUUUCACCCUAUAGACUUCAUGUUUUUGCAAAGGGCUGUUAUAUAAGCAAUUUAUAAUGUUAUUGUAACCAGAACUAGAGUGUUUAUCAUAAUAAAUAUUUAGCCCUUACAUAGUCAAUAGUAUUAAUUAUGCCGGUAGUAUAUCCAUCUACAGAUACCAGAGAUAUAGUUGUGGUAAAAUUAUCAUUGCUGGGUACCCUAGUGGAAAAAGUAAAUGACUGCAUGUCUGGUGAAAGCUUGUAUAAAAUCUGUCUCCGGCCUUUCUUACUAAAUGGAGUCAGGCAAUCUAUAUUGAUCUUACUUUUUUUCAUUCUUUGAAAUUGGAUUUUGCUUCAGGGAAGGACAAGCACAUUUGUAUACUGGAACACUUGUGACAAUUUUAUCCGUAUAUAAAACAGUUCCAUUAACUUUUCCUGUUAACAGCUAAAAACUGCAUUGCAAGGUGAAGAGACAGUAAUAAGAAAGAACAAGCUCCACUGUUAAAUAAUAAACUACAGUUUUGUAUAUACAGAACAAAUCCUACCCUGACUUGUCAGAAUUUUUCACUGUAGCUCUUGUAGUUACAGUACUUCGUAACAAUUCGCCAUGAAAAGCAUUUGGCAAAUCCCAGAAGCCUCAAGCCCCCUCUCUCCAUGAUCAGUUAUUUCUGUUUCUGACUAAAUAGCUCACAAGGUUUGUUUUCUUAAUAAUAAUAAU
Molecule: non-coding RNA, 1036 nt
Organism: Chelonoidis abingdonii (Abingdon island giant tortoise)
Lineage: Eukaryota; Metazoa; Chordata; Testudines; Testudinidae
Source: RefSeq, a predicted model, not a curated record